GAUAUCAGCCAGAUGGCAGGGCAGAAGUGGUGUGGCUAGCAGCCCAGCAAGCGGCGAAGUGUCAUCUUCAAAAUGACCAUCCAUUGGAAUUGGGGCUACAGGAAAAUGUGGCCCAACCUAAAAAAGAAACACAAGGAACUGAAGCCUCCACUGUCCAGGAGUGGGACUGACAACCAUCACCAGGGAUCAUGCUGCCUGCUGGUAGAGAGUUGUGUGUCAUCAUGCGCUGAUCUAGAAAAGCCUGUGAAAACAUCCAAAAACUCUACCUGGUGAUCACUUAGGCUGCUUCUAGACUUCACAUUGCAAGCCUGAUUGCUCAAAUCUGAUAUUUUGCUCAAAUCCGAUCUCUCUGACACGAUGGUUCACACUCGCUUAGGUAAGCGACUCAAA
Molecule: long non-coding RNA, 390 nt
Organism: Colossoma macropomum (tambaqui)
Lineage: Eukaryota; Metazoa; Chordata; Actinopteri; Characiformes; Serrasalmidae
Exons: 3
Source: RefSeq, a predicted model, not a curated record